UGGCCACGCUGUCUCCACCCGAGACUCAGUGAAAUUGAAAUCGCUGUGAAGAUGCAGUGUACCCGCGGCUAGACGGAAAGACCCCGUGAACCUUUACUACAGCUUGGCACUGAACAUUGACCCUACAUGUGUAGGAUAGGUGGGAGGCUUUGAAGCAGGUACGCCAGUAUCUGUGGAGCCGUCCUUGAAAUACCACCCUUGUAGUGUUGAUGUUCU
This 216-nucleotide ribosomal RNA is filed under the name Vibrio parahaemolyticus. RNAcentral's name for it is "partial 23S ribosomal RNA". It matches the Rfam family "Bacterial large subunit ribosomal RNA", at positions 2008 to 2223 of the family's 2925-position model. Lineage: Bacteria; Pseudomonadati; Pseudomonadota; Gammaproteobacteria; Vibrionales; Vibrionaceae. The record is from RNAcentral.